GGAUAACCUACCCUUAGGACUGGGAUAACCCCGGGAAACUGGGGAUAAUACCGGAUAGGCAAUUCUUCCUGUAAUGGUUUUUUGUUUAAAUGUUUUUUCGCCUAAGGAUGAGUCUGCGGCCGAUUAGGUAGUUGGUUAGGUAAUGGCUUACCAAGCCGUUGAUCGGUACGGGUUGUGAGAGCAAGAGCCCGGAGAUGGAACCUGAGACAAGGUUCCAGGCCCUACGGGGUGCAGCAGGCGCGAAACCUCCGCAAUGUGAGAAAUCGCGACGGGGGGAUCCCAAGUGCCAUUCUUAACGGGAUGGCUUUUCAUUAGUGUAAAGAGCUUUUGGAAUAAGAGCUGGGCAAGACCGGUGCCAGCCGCCGCGGUAACACCGGCAGCUCUAGUGGUAGCAGUUUUUAUUGGGCCUAAAGCGUCCGUAGCCGGUUUAAUAAGUCUCUGGUGAAAUCCUGUAGCUUAACUGUGGGAAUUGCUGGAGAUACUAUUAGACUUGAGACCGGGAGAGGUUAGAGGUACUCCCAGGGUAGAGGUGAAAUUCUGUAAUCCUGGGAGGACCGCCUGUUGCGAAGGCGUCUAACUGGAACGGUUCUGACGGUGAGGGACGAAAGUUAGGGGCGCGAACCGGAUUAGAUACCCGGGUAGUCCUAACCGUAAACGAUGCGGACUUGGUGUUGGGGUGGCUUUGAGCUGCUUC
RNAcentral lists this ribosomal RNA (694 nucleotides) under uncultured archaeon. Its description in RNAcentral is "bacterial SSU rRNA". It matches the Rfam family "Archaeal small subunit ribosomal RNA", at positions 102 to 796 of the family's 1478-position model. The record is from RNAcentral.